GAGGACCGUAUUCAUGGAAGAGGAUUGAACAGAAGCAGAUGAAUAUAUGGGAGAUGAAGUAGACAGUAUGUUGGAUAAAUCUGGAGUAAAGAACCCCAGCAAUUGGUAAGGAUGAGAAUAUAUCGCCUCAAGUAAAAGGAGAUGAAGACAUGGGGGAUGAAAUUGACAGUAUGUUGGCUACAUCUGGAGGUCUUUUCUCCUGAGAACACGGGACUCCAGCAUCUUCGGAUUCUGCUCUUGGAGGGGUUUGCCCCACAUCCUCUAUAUUGCAGAAAACAAGACUAGGCUCUACCUCUGUAGAUCAAGCACGACUGAAAUCCGUGCUCUCAAAAGAUGCUGGGGAGAAAGAGUGCCAUUCUUCACAAAUGCUGGAUCCUGCAGAUGUUCACCAUCUCAUGAGUAGGGCCUCAGAAGUCCCCCACCAUGCCAAAGGAUUCACAGACCUACCAAAUCUUUGAAAACCCCAUCAGAAAAGGCCCCUUCUGCCCAAGAUGUGUGCAGCUGAACAGAGCGUUGAGGAAACGUCAGUGAUUUUAUGACUACUUAUCAUGUUGGGAGAUUGUUGUGAUGAUUGCCUGGACUCUCAGAUGUUACACAGGCUGCAUCAUUGGACUGAAAGUGAAUGGCCCAUGUGUUGCCACUGAUGUGAGCCAUUUGCCUGUUGUGCUUCA
This 671-nucleotide non-coding RNA is filed under the name Mus musculus (house mouse). The record is from RNAcentral. Lineage: Eukaryota; Metazoa; Chordata; Mammalia; Rodentia; Muridae.